AUGGAAGGCAUAAUGGAUCAUUUGGUGCAUGAGAGGAGCAAGGCACAGUCCAAUGUUGAGGAGAUGAAGGUCAUCUGGGCAGGUUCUCACCACGCCUUCCAAGUCUCUGAUCAGAUCGCUUGACUCGUUGCUAGCGAUCCAGGCUUUAGAAAGUACAACAGAGCUGUGCUAAGCAGGAAGGAGUUGUUUAAAAGUACGAGCUCUGAGAAAAGCAGCUUAUGUGUGGAAAAGGAUCCAUGAGCUUGGACUUUAUGAAGAAGAGGCAUCAUGGUUGAGGUUCUAUGUUGAUGAAUUUACUUAUGCUUAUGUUCAUUGGGGAAUGUUUGCGCCUGCUAUUAAAGGGUCUGCUACUGAGGAUCAGCAACAACAGUGGUUACCUUUGGCAAACAAGAUGCAAAUAAUUGGUACUUAUGCACAAACUGAACUUGGUCAUGGCUCCAACAUUCAAGGCCUUGAGACAACCGUGACUUUUGAUCCGGAGACAGAUGAGUUCACCAUCCAUAGUCCUACCCUGACCUCAAGCAAAUGGUGGCCUGGUGGAUUGGGAAAGGUUGCUACACAUGCUGUUGUUUAUGCUCUGCUUAUUACUAAUAACCAAGAUUAUGGAGUACAUGGUUUCCUAGUCCAAAUUCGGAGCCUAGAUGACCACUUUCCUCUUCCAGGUGUAACAGUUGGUGAUAUUGGGAUGAAAUUUGGAAGUGGAGCAUUCGAUUCCAUGGACAAUGGUGUCCUUAUAUUCGAUCAAGUGCGCAUUCCAAGGAAUCAAAUGCUGAUGAGGUUCUCAAGGGUCACAAGACAAGGAAAGCAUAUAGAAUCCAACGUUCUGAAGCAGCUGCUUUAUGGAGCUAUGGUUUGUGUCAGACAAAUCAUUGUAGCUGAUACUUCCAUUGCCUUGUCAAGACUCAAAAGCAGGUACACAUUGCUACCCGGUACAGUGCUGUUCGUCGACAAUUUCGUUCUCCACAAAAUCAAGAUAGUGUUGAGACACAGGUCAUUGAAUACAAGACUCAGCAAAGUACUCUUCCCUUUGCUGGCUUCUACCUAUGCUUUCAGAUUUGUCGGCGAGUGGUUGAAAUGCCUAUACACAGAAUGACAGAAUUGAUCCAAAAGUUGGAAGCUAACAAUUUCUCUAUGCUGCCGAAGGCGCAUGCCUGCACUGCUGGUUUGAAGGCCUUGACUACUUCCGCUGCUGUUGACAACGUAGAAGAAUGUCGGAAACUAUGUGGUGGCCAUGGUUACUUGUCUAGCUGUGGACUUACUGAGCUAUAUCACUUACAUGCUUCUUUUUUCUCUGCUUGUAUUUAUGAAGGAGAUAACAUUGUUCUACUUAAGUACUUAUACAUGUUUCAAGAUUUCUCAUGAAGACCAUUUCUCAGUUGCAGACUGGGGAAAAGCCUAAUGGAACCACAACUUAUAUGGGUCAUGCGGAGCACUUUAUCCGAUGUCACUGUAAGGUUCAAAAAGCUGAGGAUUGGUUCCAUCCCACUGUAAUACUUGAGGCAUUUGAAGCAAGGGCUAUUAGAUUGUCGGUUGCUUGUGCCGAAAAUCUCACCAAGUUUACCAGUCCAACUUUUCUGAACUCUCACCAGAUUUAGUUCAAGCUGCAGUUGCUCAUUGGCAAUUAAUUGUGGUCUCCAAGUUCCUUGAGAAGUUGCAGCAAAACAUUGAAGGAAAUGGAGUGAAACAAGUUAAUUGGAGACCCUCUUCAACAUAUACUGUUUGAAUCUUAUUCAGAAAAAUUUGGGUGAUUUUCUGUCAACUAGAAGCAUCAGUCCCAAGCAAGCUUCACUUGCCAGUGAUCAAGUUAGGAAUCUGUAUUCCAAGCUUCGUCCCAAUGUUAUAGUCCUUGUUGAUGCAUAUAAUUACACACAUCAUUUCCUUGGCUCGAUUCUUGGGUGCUAUGAUGGUAAUGUGUAUCCCAAGCUCUAUGAGGAAGGCAUGGAAAGAUCCACUCAAUGACUUUGUUCAGUGUGUUGUACAUGAUGGCUAUCAUGAAUACAUCCAACCUCUGCUGAAGCAACAACUCCGGAGUGCAAGGCUUUGAAGAUAUCAAUAUCAAUGACCUCAAGAGCAGCAAAUCCUCUUUCAAUUUUCUGUUGUAGCUCGUUUUACUAAAGUU
This is an RNA transcript of Fragaria vesca subsp. vesca, 2119 nucleotides long. It is a transcript of the gene named peroxisomal acyl-coenzyme A oxidase 1-like, with no coding region annotated. The record is from RefSeq and is a predicted model, not a curated record. The transcript has a single exon. NCBI's taxonomy places the organism in Eukaryota, Viridiplantae, Streptophyta, Magnoliopsida, Rosales, Rosaceae.